This is a long non-coding RNA of Gopherus evgoodei (Goodes thornscrub tortoise), 1539 nucleotides long. RefSeq lists it as uncharacterized. NCBI's taxonomy places the organism in Eukaryota, Metazoa, Chordata, Testudines, Testudinidae. The record is from RefSeq and is a predicted model, not a curated record. The transcript is spliced from 3 exons.
GGCGGGGCUGGCCCCGGCAGGGUCAGGCUGCGCCGCGGCGGGAUUGGUCAGGCUGCGCCCCGCAGUUCCGCCCGCAAGCGGCCGGCAGGGAGCGGGGAAGCCCCACCCCCGAUCCGCGGGGCCGGCAGAGCGUCCUCCUUGCUGCCGAGCGGGGUGCGGCCUCAGCGGGGGAGGGAGCCGCUGGGUUCCGCGAGGCGCGUUGCUGAAGCGGCUGUUAAGCUGGCUACGUGCAGGAGCGGACACGGCUGAGAGCGUGGGGCAGCCCAGGCGGCGCGCUGAAUGGGAACCCUAGGAGCGCCCCGACACCGGCCUGGUGCAGGCUCAGCUCCUGUGGGGAGCAGGCCCCGGCCCUGUUCGCAGCAGCCGUGCGUGUCGGGGGGAGAGUGCACCUUGGCACGGGGAGGCACGGCCACCGCCCGUGAAAGUGUCGCAGAGCAACUGAAGGAGUGCACUGUCGACCACUUCUAUAGUAUUGAAAAGUUAUUACAAACUGAAGUACAUGCAGCAGAGAAAGCAGAAGUCAUUUUAGGCCAAAUGAUACUGUAUGCAGUUGCUGUUCAACAGUGUUCCUAUUGCGCCUGGACUCACAGAGGCUUUAACGUCAGUGUGUGGGCUAGAGAAGGGCCGUGUUGGCUUUUAAGACGGAUUCUCUUCAUUUGCAGUCACCCCAUUGGUCAGAGGCUCUUUUUAGAAACUUCCCAUUAUUUUGUUAUUCUUUGAAUCCGACAUUCUUCCUGUUUUAUUCUCUCUGUCCUUAUCACUUAUUAUUUUCAAGGCCUUCCUUCUACUUGCUCAUCAGGCCUUUCUUUACAACACAUAUUUCCUUAACUAAACUUAAGCUAACUUUAAUUCUUUAAUUUUAUACUUAUCCUACAUUCUCCACCUUAAAACCUGACUAUGUGGAAUUUACUACAUUAAGCAUUUUAAAAAUACAUCUACAAUUUUGCAAUAUUUUGUACCACUGAUAAACUUGACAGUGCAGAAUUAAAAUGACCAUUACCACGAUUACAUUGUCAUUAAAAGCUUUAGUAAUUAUCAGUCUUCAGCAUGGAUGUAAUUCCACAUUGUACACUUAUUUCCACCAGCAGGGGCUAGUUAGCUUCCAAAUUUCCUGUUCCUGGCUGUUAAAAUGCAGGUUUAAAGGGCAUCCUCCCAUAAUCUGAAUUCAGCCACAUUACAAAAAUGGGUAUAGGAUGUGAAAUCUUUCCAUUUAUCACCGCACGAAUUUUGAUGUGAAACAAAACAUUGGUCAAUCAGAAUAACAGUCUUUGUAUUUAUACCGAAAGUUAUUUCCAGCAACUACACAAUAUUUACCAUUCCCAGCCUAAGCAGUUUUUACUAAAACUAGUAAAAAUCAUGGCCUUAAUAAAGACAAUGGAUUUAUGGCUUACUACAAAAACUCCUCCCCUCUCCACUUUUUGUCCAAGGGUGUUAAUGGGCUACUUCACCUUGAGGGGUCCCUUAGAAUCUAUUCUGGAAUAGAUUGCCUAGGGAAGUUGUGGAAUCUCCAUCUCUGGAGAUAUUUAAGAGUAGGUUAGA